CAUUGCUUCAACUAAAACGCCACUAUUUUGACGAGAUUUUUCUACAUCUUUAGUGUGAAAUCGAAAACCAUUUAUAACAAAACUAGAAUAUGACAUUGAUUAAUAUCUAGGACCACGUGCAAGCCACUUCAAAUUGUUCGAAACUUUAUUCGUCAAUAGCUGAAUUUGAAUCUGUUAUUAUGUUAAAAAUGUUAGAAAUAAAAGAACAAAUAGCACAACUUUGAGACAUUUAUUUGUUGAUGUGUAUUCCAACCAUAUCACCUAACCAGGCAGCAAAAAGCAUCAAUGUGCUUCUUGUUCAAUAAAGUCUCAUUUCUUUCGAGUCGUUUGUUAAAACUCUUCAAUUCAUCCAUAUGCAUCCUAAGGUAAAUAAAAUAUAUCAAAAAAUAUGGUUAACUACUUAAAAUUAUUGAACUCUAUAUUUAAUAAACGUACUCUAUGUAUGGUUGAACUUCUGUAGUAUUCAGUAACACGUAGCGAUGAGCAACUUUCAACAUCUCAUUGGAUAGUAUAUUGCCUUCCCUUUAGAAAUUGUACGCCCUGCAACUAGGAAAUUAGUCUCAUAUUCUUCAUUGCGUACAGGCUUAGAUCUUAUUUUAGAUGCUUGUGUUACGUAUUUGCUGCAAAACUUCGCAUUUUCUUCAACAAUAUGUCGUUCAGCUAUGCACCCUUCACGCCGUCUACGAUUCAUAACAUACCCUUUCAACACUUUCAUAUAUCUCUCAAAUGGGUACAUCCAACAAUAUUAUACUGGUCCACAUAGACGAACUUCUCUCCCAAUAUGGAUUGUUAAAUGAACCAUUAUAUCAAAAAAUGAAGACAGGAAGUACCUUUCCAACAUGCAUAAACUUUCAGAAAUGUCAACCCUAAUUAUUCAACCUUAUUUCUAUCUACAAUUCCUUGACAUAUUUCCUUAAAAAAUGAACUCAAUUUAAAAAUGGAAUUCCUUGAUCCUUUAGGUAGAAGCCCUCUCAAUGCAGCUGAUAAUAAUUGUUGCAUUAACAUAUGACAAUCAUGAGACUUCAACCCAGCUAUCUUACAUUCUUCCACCAAUAUGCAAUUUCCAAUAUUAGAUCCAUAGCCAUCGGGUAAUCUCAAGUUAGCAAGCCUUUUGCAAAAUAUUUUCUUUUCUGCUUUUGAUAAGGUGUGAGGAGCAGCUGGUAGAUAAAACUUAUUUCCUCUACUCUGAGGAUGUAAAUCGUGCCUAAUAUUCAUUUCUUCCAUGUCCUUACGAGAGUUAAUGCCAUCUUUAGAUUUUCCUUUGACAUCCAAAAGUGUACUGAUGAUGCUUUCACAAAUAUUCUUCUCCACAUGCAUCACAUCCAAAUUAUGAUGUACAAGUAAAGUCUGCAAAUCAAACGCCAAUGGAGUCAUAAAAACUACACACAAUUAUAAGUAUUGAAUAAAAAUGAAGGAAAUAUCACAACAAUUACCUUCCAAUAUUGUAGAUUGAAAAAUAUUGACCUCUUCUUCCACGUUACAUCAGAUUGAGUUGUAUUCUUCUUCCUCUUCCGUUUCCCACUUUUUCCCCAGUCGUUUGUAAUUUUAUCAACUUCAAUAAAAUCUUCUUCACCAUUUUUUAUUUGUGGCCUAAUACCAUGUUCAAUAUGUCCAUUAAACCAACUCUUUUUCAUGCGAAAUGGAUGAUCAAACGUGAGAAAUUUUCUAUGUCCCAUGUACGCAAACUUCCUACCAUACUUCAACCAUAGUGAACAUGUACUCUCACGACAAAUGGGGCAUGCAAUUUUUCCUUUGACGGGCCACCCAGAUAUAUUUCCAAAUGCAGGAAAAUCAUGUAUUGUCCACAUCAAAAGAGCUUUUAAGUUAAAUGUAGACUUUGUAACAACGUCAUACAUAUCAACCCCAUCAUUCCAUAACAACAUUAAGUCAUCUACAAGUGGUGCCAAAUAAACAUCUAUGUCAUUACCUGGCUGAUUUGGUCUCGGGAUCAAUAAACUCAACAUCAAACUUUCCUUUGACAUGCGAAUUGAGGGAGGCAAGUUAUAUAUAGUUAAGAUUACUGGCCAACAACUGUAUUUAGAGCUAAGAUCUUUGAAAGGAUUAAAUCCAUCAGUAGCAAGACCUAAUCUAAUAUUUCGAGGAUCAGAUGUAAAAUCUAGCCACCUUCGAUUAAUCAUUUCCCAACUCAAUGAAUCAACUGGCUGCCUAAUCUUGCCGUCUGAACUUUUAUUAUUUGAGUUCCAUCGAAGUUGUGUUGACAUCUCAUAUAUUCCAAACAUCCUCUUCAGUCUUGGUAUUAUAGGAAAAUAACGCAAGACCUUGGCUGGGAUAUUUUUCUAAAUUUUUUUUGUCCAUUUUUUAAUAUUCCAUCUCGAGCAACCACAUUUUGAACAUAAUUCAGCAUGCUCAAACUCCUUUCUAUAUAGACAACAAUCAUUUAGGCAAGCAUGUAUCUUUUCAUAGCCAAGAUCAAAUGUAUUGACAAGUUUUUUCAUCUAGUAAAAUGAGUUUGGAAGUGUAUUAUUAUCUAGCAACAUGUCUCAAACAAGAUUUAUAAGUUCAUCAAAACCAUUAUCUGAUAACUCAUGUGAAGCUUUAUGCUUAAACAUUGCAACCAAAGCUGACAUCUUUGUAAAUGCCCUACAACCAGGAUAUAAAGGAGUUUCAGCAUCAUUAACUACACUUUCAAUCUCUUCAUCUCUUCCAUCAGGACGGUUUUUAGAAUCCACAUCAUGUUGUGCAUAGAAAUCCUUAAACAUCCUACUCUACUCAGGCAUUUCUACAACAUUCUGAUUUGAUGAACCUAGUUGCUCUCCAUGAAAUACCCAAGUAGUAUAUGUAGAAUCCAUACCUUUAAUAACCAAAUGUUCAUAGACUGUAUCAUAAUGAUGAUGCAUUGGAUUCCUACACUUAACACAAGGACAUACUAUCAUUUCUGAAUUGCAUUUUUUACGAGCUCGUUCAACAAAAUUCUGUGCUCCAUCGCUAUAUGGUCUUGAAAAUCUACGAGUAAAUCUUUAUGAUCAUUAUACAUUGAAAUUAUUUUCAUUUGGUAAAUGGGAUCAUAAUAUCAAAUUUCAGAUGAUAACCUUGAUAAUUGCAGCCACUCUUUGUCCAUUAUACGCAAAGCUACUAUCCAACACUGAAUAUUCAAAAAAUAGACGUUCAGGAUUAAGCUCCAACUAACAGAUAGUAACAAGACAAAGGUG
RNAcentral lists this long non-coding RNA (3170 nucleotides) under Olea europaea subsp. europaea. The record is from RNAcentral. Lineage: Eukaryota; Viridiplantae; Streptophyta; Magnoliopsida; Lamiales; Oleaceae.